UUUCCGGAGGUGGUACAUUCCACGCCCCCCACCCCCCAUCAAUGGCCGAGUCCGGAGCAUCCUUUGCACAAAGCCCCGAUUAUUCCAGCUCUGGGUGUAAAGGCGCCUGUAUUCCAGGGACCCAAGCUCCCGACCGCCUCCACCCCCAGUCUUCAAGACCCAGGCGCCAGAUUCUCCUUCUCCUCCUCCUCCAACCUUAAGGACCCGGCACCAGAGCAAGCUCUGCCUUAAGGGACCCAGGCGCCCCCAACCCCCUUCACCUCACUCCAAGCAUCCAAACAACUGAGCUCCCCGUUCCACCCCAGGGACCCUCCCUGACAUGAAGCAGGCACCUGAAGGCCCCUCCCUCCCCCUUCCUCUCAGAGAUCCGGGUCCCUGGGCUCUCACUGCUCAGCUGCUCAGGUGUCCACCCUCCCCCUCCCCCUGCAGUUUGAGCUCCCAGUGCCAGGGAGUCCUGGGCUCCAGGGGCCUGGUACCUGCCCUCUCAGUCCCUGAGGCCCCCUAGCCCCUGGGCUUUCUGAUAGGCUUUCCAGGGCUCAGAGAGCCCAAGGACCAGCCUCCUGGGAAGCAGGUGGAAGGGCAUCCUGGUAGUGAUGCUCUCGGUCACUGAGUCAGUCCCAGGACCCCCAGAUCUCAGCCAGUCAGAGCACCCCAGGCCCGGGCCCUCUGAGGACCCAGAGCCCCAGGUCUGACAGGGGAAUGUCGGUGGGGGUGGGGAGGGUGAGUCAGCAGUUGGAGUCACACAAAGCCCCCCUGUGGCCCCCGCAUUCCCGGGAUUCCCUGAGCUCCCAAGAUGCUGGGCUGGAGCCCAAGCCGGGGGCGGGGAUUCCUAGGAGGCUUCCCCAGAAGUGUCCCAUACACCACCAGGGAAGCGUCCUGAGCAGCCUGGGCACCUGGGGGAGGGGGCUGGAGGGGACAGAAGGGCAGGCUACCUGGGGCCUGGCGGGGCUGGACAGCAGAGCGCCCGGCUUCUUGCAGAGUGGGGACGGAGGGAGAAAAAAGUUUACUGGUGCCAUGAGGGGUUGGGAACUAUAGGUCUGUCUAUCUCCCUCCCUGGGGGAGAGAAAGCCUGCUUUGUCCUGGCGGGGACAGAGCUGCCUCGCACGGCAUCAACCACCCCCAGCUCGGUCACCUCGGGGACCCGCGCAUCCUCAUCCCCCAGGCCCAUCGAGGACCCAGGUGGCCUGAUGCCCCCCUCCCCAGCCCUUAGAAUUGCAGAGCUGAAAGGUAGGGAAACUGAGGCCGGGAAGAACAGGAAGGAUUCUCAAACUAGAAAGCCCUAGAGACGCACCAUAAAGCCCAACCCUCUUGUUUUCCAGGUAGGGAAACUGAGGCCCAGAAGAGUAGGAGAGAUUCUCAAACUAGAAAGCCCUAGACGCACCAUUAAGCCCAACUCUCUUGUUUUCCAGGUAGGGAAACUGAGGCCCGGAAGAGCGGGAGGGAUUCCCCAAGCCCACAGGAUAAAUCUCUAGUGGAGAGCCAGUACCAGAAUUCAGGUCUGAUUCCCAGAAGAGUCUAUCUCUCCCAUCACAACUG
Molecule: long non-coding RNA, 1536 nt
Organism: Sarcophilus harrisii (Tasmanian devil)
Lineage: Eukaryota; Metazoa; Chordata; Mammalia; Dasyuromorphia; Dasyuridae
Exons: 2
Source: RefSeq, a predicted model, not a curated record